GACGAACGCUGGCGGCGUGCUUAACACAUGCAAGUCGAACGGAAAGGCCCUGCUUUUGUGGGGUGCUCGAGUGGCGAACGCGUGAGUAACACGUGUGUAACCUGCCCUUGUCUUUCGGGUAACUUCAGGAAACUGGGGCUAAUACCGGAUAGGAGCUCCUGCUGCAUGGUGGGGGUUGGAAAGUUUCGGCGGUUGGGGAUGGACUCGCGGGUUAUCAGCUUGUUGGUGGGGUAGUGGCUGACCAAGGCUUUGACGGGUAGCCGGCCUGAGAGGUGGGCCGGCCACAUUGGGACUGAGGUACGGCCCAGACUCCUACGGGAGGCAGCAGUGGGGAAUAUUGCACAAUGGGCGGAAGCCUGAUGCAGCAACGCCGCGUGCGGGAUGACGGCUUUCGGGGUGUAAACCGCUUUCGCCUGUGACGAAGCGGGAGUGACGGUAAUGGGUAAAGAAGCACCGGCUAACUACGUG
Molecule: ribosomal RNA, 468 nt
Filed under: uncultured bacterium
Lineage: Bacteria
Description: partial 16S ribosomal RNA
Rfam family: Bacterial small subunit ribosomal RNA
Source: RNAcentral